CCUACGGGGUGUUGCAGUGAGGAAUAUUGGUCAAUGGACGAGAGUCUGAACCAGCCAAGUAGCGUGAAGGAUGACUGCCCUAUGGGUUGUAAACUUCUUUUAUAUGGGAAUAAAAUGUUCCACGUGUGGGAUUUUGUAUGUACCAUAUGAAUAAGGAUCGGCUAACUCCGUGCCAGCAGCCGCGGUAAUACGGAGGAUCCGAGCGUUAUCCGGAUUUAUUGGGUUUAAAGGGAGCGUAGGUGGAUUGUUAAGUCAGUUGUGAAAGUUUGCGGCUCAACCGUAAAAUUGCAGUUGAAACUGGCAGUCUUGAGUACAGUAGAGGUGGGCGGAAUUCGUGGUGUAGCGGUGAAAUGCUUAGAUAUCACGAAGAACUCCGAUUGCGAAGGCAGUUCACUGGACUGCAACUGACACUGAGGCUCGAAAGUGUGGGUAUCAAACAGGAUUAGAUACCCUUGUAGUC
Molecule: ribosomal RNA, 460 nt
Filed under: uncultured bacterium
Lineage: Bacteria
Description: partial 16S ribosomal RNA
Rfam family: Bacterial small subunit ribosomal RNA
Source: RNAcentral